This 440-nucleotide ribosomal RNA is filed under the name uncultured bacterium. RNAcentral's name for it is "partial 16S ribosomal RNA". It matches the Rfam family "Bacterial small subunit ribosomal RNA", at positions 338 to 795 of the family's 1533-position model. The record is from RNAcentral.
CCUACGGGAGGCAGCAGUGGGGAAUAUUGCACAAUGGGGGAAACCCUGAUGCAGCGACGCCGCGUGAGUGAAGAAGUAUUUCGGUACGUAAAGCUCUAUCAGCAGGGAAGAAAAUGACGGUACCUGACUAAGAAGCCCCGGCUAACUACGUGCCAGCAGCCGCGGUAAUACGUAGGGGGCAAGCGUUAUCCGGAUUUACUGGGUGUAAAGGGAGCGUAGACGGCAGCGCAAGUCUGGAGUGAAAUCCCAUGGCUCAACCAUGGAACUGCUUUGGAAACUGUGCAGCUAGAGUGCAGGAGAGGUAAGCGGAAUUCCUAGUGUAGCGGUGAAAUGCGUAGAUAUUAGGAGGAACACCAGUGGCGAAGGCGGCUUACUGGACUGUAACUGACGUUGAGGCUCGAAAGCGUGGGGAGCAAACAGGAUUAGAUACCCCAGUAGUC